CAGUCGCCGCGGUAAUACAGAGGAUGCAAGCGUUAUCCGGAAUGAUUGGGCGUAAAGCGUCUGUAGGUGGCUUUUCAAGUCCGCCGUCAAAUCCCAGGGCUCAACCCUGGACAGGCGGUGGAACUACCAAGCUGGAGUACGGUAGAGGCAGAGGGAAUUUCCGGUGGAGCGGUGAAAUGCGUUGAGAUCAGAAAGAACACCAACGGCGAAAGCACUCUGCUGGGCCGACACUGACACUGAGAGACGAAAGCUAGGGGAGCAAAUGGGAUUAGAUACCCCCGUAGUCCCUGUCUCUUAUACA
Molecule: ribosomal RNA, 301 nt
Filed under: uncultured bacterium
Lineage: Bacteria
Description: partial 16S ribosomal RNA
Rfam family: Bacterial small subunit ribosomal RNA
Source: RNAcentral